GUCCAGCCCCCUUUCCAGACGGGACUUCCCUGCAGUGCGGGGACCUGAGCGCGGCAGUAGCGCUGGGAUCCCACCGGGCGUGGAUGGCUGGAUCUGAGGAGCGCCGUGGGCUGCUCCGCGGCGCCCGCCCAGUCCGCAGCUGUCCCACUGAGAGCUUCCCAUUUAGCCAGCUGGCGUCUGUUCCCUGCCGACUCGAAAGGGAGGCGAGGGACCGGGCAGGGCGAGCGAGCAAUGAAAGACGAGACCGGGCCGACUCCGACGGAGCGUGUUUGUCAGCGCUGACAAGUGAAGGCCACCUCCCCACCGACUGGGAGGACGCAGCUGGGGUUGGGGACUUCUGGGGGGCAAGCUCGAGGAUCCGAGCUGGGCGGGUGCUCCCGCGCGGUGAAGGGUGGGGCUGGAAUGGGGGAGUGCUAAUCGCCCUCUGGCUGGAAGGAAUGUGGGCGGUGGAGGGUGGGGUAGUGUUAGCGGGUGGUGAGCCUUUUUCGAGUGGGAAGGAAACUUUUUCUUAACGUGGCGGCUGUCACGUCAGGUGCUAAGCAAGGACCUUACAACGGGAACCCUAAAUCUUCAGCUGUAUCCACUGUUGACCUCCAAAGUUUAAAGGUAUAGGUACUGCCCUGUGCAGAGGCCCCCACACCUGGAAUCCCAGCGGCUCAGGAAGCUGAGACAGGAUUGAGAGUUCAAAGCCAGCCUCAGCAAAAGUGAGGCCCUAAGCAACUCAGUGAAACCCUGUCUCUAAAUAAAAUACAAUAGGGCUGGGGAUGUGGCUCAGGGGCUGAGUGGCUGUAAGGAUGGCCUUAGGCCUUAGCCUAGGCAACUCCAUUUUAAAACUCUAGUUUGAAACCUGCAGUCUCACCAGCACACCUAUGGAGCUCUCCAGUAUGGCCCUCAGACCCAAACAAGUCACUUCUCCCCACCCUGACAAACUCAGAGUGAACUCUUUGGCAUGUUGCCCUCUGCCUGAUAUGAGCAAGAAGCAAGAAUAUCAGGGUGGGGACCACCAGACCAGAUGCUUUAACCUCAGGAGGAAUGACAUCACUGAGAAAUCCUGUAGCAGCUGAUAGGGAUUGACAGAUGGUCAAAAGCCCAAAAACUUUGUAUAAAUGAUGGAGCAAAUGAACAGACAUUCAGCCAGCUGACACUGAUGCACACAAGUCUGAGAGCCUGAUGAGGACCUGGACUGACAUCCCAGCUCUUCUCAUCUGCCUGAUCUUCUGCAUUAUUCUCACCUCUCAAACUCUACAGCAGUCUCUGGACUCUGGUGAGAAAAGGACACCUCCCUGUGACCGCCUCCUCAGGCAGCCAUCAGCUCCACCCCAGGAGAAGCUUGCCUUGGUUCGUGACCUGAUCACUGUUGUCUGAGUGAGUACACCUUCUGGACUUAAAGCCUAAGGCUUCAGACUUUUGAUCUGACACUCAAGCUUAGCACACAGGGGGAAUGUCUGUAAUAAGUCUGCCAUGAUGAGGUGUGUUUGCAGUGUUUAGAAUUGUUUGCUUUGAAUUGAUUAUGUCUAUUGCAGUGCCUAGCAUUAAGGAUUGUCAUUUUCUUGAUUAAGAACCUAUAGAGUGAAAUUGUAUUGAGUGAUUUGAGUGAAUAAAGCAUUGAAAAGGGCAGAAGCAG
Molecule: long non-coding RNA, 1624 nt
Filed under: Marmota monax (woodchuck)
Lineage: Eukaryota; Metazoa; Chordata; Mammalia; Rodentia; Sciuridae
Source: RNAcentral